This 1118-nucleotide unclassified non-coding RNA is filed under the name Hevea brasiliensis (rubber tree). The record is from RNAcentral. Lineage: Eukaryota; Viridiplantae; Streptophyta; Magnoliopsida; Malpighiales; Euphorbiaceae.
AUGGUUGACAAGGGAAAAUGUUGCGAGUCACUUGCAGAAAUAUCGCAUUUAUCUGAGUAGAUUGCAUAAGCAAAUGGACCUGGAAAUUGCUUUUAACUGGAUAAAUGAUUCAGACUCACAUUCCAGAUCCGCUACAAGUGUUGGCACUCAGUACUCAUGCAACAUGUGGCACAAAGGUGUUUCAAAUGGUAGCUAUGGAUUUUCUGGCAAUAGCUCACCUCUCCACUACUUGGAACCCAGACUCUAUGGCAGAAGCUAUGUAAGUGACGAAGAGGGAACUGUUUCAAAGCCUGUGAUAGCAUCCAAAAGAUCUUUAACUACUGAUGAUUCUGAUACCUGGAAGUCCAGGAGAUCACAGACUGAAUUUAGUUAUUCUAGCCCCUCUUGGGAAUCAGAAGUAAACUCCGCAGCAUUUGAUUCUACUUUCCUAUUUAUACCCUCAAGGGAUGAUGAAAAGAAACACUAAGAUAAUGAAGACGAGCGUAGGGAUGAUGAAGACUAGCAAACUUCAUUCAAAAACCAAUAAUGACUAAUGUCCUAGAUAUAAUCCUGUGUGUGUGUAUAAUAACAUGUUAUUAUAGAUAAUUACGACUGAGACCGUAUAUUUUGCACCAGAAUGGGAAUCUGAUGAAUCAAAAUGAUACCAGAAGUCUUCUUACCCAUAAAUGUCAUAUAUUAUACCUUGAUUAGCAUGUGUUCAGGAAUAUGAAUCACGGUGUAUUUUGAGAUGUAUAGCAUGUUUAAAGAACCUGAAACUCUCUUUUUUCGUGUUGUCUUUUUCCUUGUUUUUCCUGUUAAUUCCGACCAGGGAAAGCAACUGCUGAGGAAUUAUAUGUUGACAAUGGGCACAGGGUUCUUUUCUGCCUUUGGCUUUACUGGCUUUAUGAGAAAAAAGAUUGUCGUUUUGCUAGCAUGCCCCUUUCUUGGGUCAAGAGAUGAGUUAAUAGGGCUGCGUGCACAUGCUGUACCAAUGGUGGCUUUAUUUCAUGCUAGUGUUUGUAAUGAACCAUCUAGUGUACUUUCUACUAUUUUGUAUGUUGAUAUUUUUUAGGUAUUUUUUUUCUCUUAACAUUAUGAAUCCUAGGUUGGAUGUACUUGGAGAGUCUGAUGAUGAGGAG